CCCUUACUCGCUCUUUCACUGCUGCAGAUUCAAGACUGUCUGUUGAUUACGCAAUGGCUGUCAUUAUAAAAAGAGUUUGUCUUUGGCAGCCGUACAGAAAAUACAAUGCAUCCGUCAUAAAAUGACCCGAUACCUUUGGGGUUCUGAUGGCACUGAGGCUGGUCUGUUCUGAAAUGAGGCUUUCGGUCUGUCUACAAGGGCGGCUGUAGGAAGUCGAUGAUAUCCGAGGCUGCCUUCACCUCUUCAGGAGUUGGGUGCUCAGCGCUGCAGUCUGGUGUCAGUCUAUGUGAACUGCCCUCACCCAUCCCUCAGGUGUGCUGCAGUCUGGUUGGUCAGUCUGAGACCACAUGACCUGUAGCCUACGGCCCAGACUCCUCCAUCACACACAGCCCUCUGGUUCCAUAGAGAGGUGGAGGGGCUUCCCACCAUAAUGGCUGCCCGUCCUGUGUUUUCUCUGACGUGUUGCGGUGCAGAAUCAGAAGGUGGCGAAUCGCAUUUCUGCAUGUCUGGCAGACAUAUCAGUG
This is a long non-coding RNA of Coregonus clupeaformis (lake whitefish), 524 nucleotides long. RefSeq lists it as uncharacterized. The transcript has 6 exons. The record is from RefSeq and is a predicted model, not a curated record. NCBI's taxonomy places the organism in Eukaryota, Metazoa, Chordata, Actinopteri, Salmoniformes, Salmonidae.